RNAcentral lists this ribosomal RNA (2900 nucleotides) under Klebsiella pneumoniae. Its description in RNAcentral is "bacterial LSU rRNA". It matches the Rfam family "Bacterial large subunit ribosomal RNA". The record is from RNAcentral. Lineage: Bacteria; Pseudomonadati; Pseudomonadota; Gammaproteobacteria; Enterobacterales; Enterobacteriaceae.
UUAAGCGACUAAGCGUACACGGUGGAUGCCCUGGCAGUCAGAGGCGAUGAAGGACGUGCUAAUCUGCGAAAAGCGUCGGUAAGGUGAUAUGAACCGUUAUAACCGGCGAUGUCCGAAUGGGGAAACCCAGUGUGAUUCGUCACACUAUCGUUAACUGAAUACAUAGGUUAACGAGGCGAACCGGGGGAACUGAAACAUCUAAGUACCCCGAGGAAAAGAAAUCAACCGAGAUUCCCCCAGUAGCGGCGAGCGAACGGGGAGCAGCCCAGAGUCUGAAUCAGCUUGUGUGUUAGUGGAACGGUCUGGAAAGUCCGACGGUACAGGGUGAUAGUCCCGUACACCAAAAUGCACAGGCUGUGAACUCGAAGAGUAGGGCGGGACACGUGGUAUCCUGUCUGAAUAUGGGGGGACCAUCCUCCAAGGCUAAAUACUCCUGACUGACCGAUAGUGAACCAGUACCGUGAGGGAAAGGCGAAAAGAACCCCGGCGAGGGGAGUGAAAAAGAACCUGAAACCGUGUACGUACAAGCAGUGGGAGCACCUUCGGGUGUGACUGCGUACCUUUUGUAUAAUGGGUCAGCGACUUAUAUUCUGUAGCAAGGUUAACCGUAUAGGGGAGCCGCAGGGAAACCGAGUCUUAACUGGGCGUUAAGUUGCAGGGUAUAGACCCGAAACCCGGUGAUCUAGCCAUGGGCAGGUUGAAGGUUGGGUAACACUAACUGGAGGACCGAACCGACUAAUGUUGAAAAAUUAGCGGAUGACUUGUGGCUGGGGGUGAAAGGCCAAUCAAACCGGGAGAUAGCUGGUUCUCCCCGAAAGCUAUUUAGGUAGCGCCUCGUGAACUCAUCUUCGGGGGUAGAGCACUGUUUCGGCUAGGGGGUCAUCCCGACUUACCAACCCGAUGCAAACUACGAAUACCGAAGAAUGUUAUCACGGGAGACACACGGCGGGUGCUAACGUCCGUCGUGAAGAGGGAAACAACCCAGACCGCCAGCUAAGGUCCCAAAGUCAUGGUUAAGUGGGAAACGAUGUGGGAAGGCACAGACAGCCAGGAUGUUGGCUUAGAAGCAGCCAUCAUUUAAAGAAAGCGUAAUAGCUCACUGGUCGAGUCGGCCUGCGCGGAAGAUGUAACGGGGCUAAACCAUGCACCGAAGCUGCGGCAGCGACACUAUGUGUUGUUGGGUAGGGGAGCGUUCUGUAAGCCUGCGAAGGUGACCUGUGAGGGUUGCUGGAGGUAUCAGAAGUGCGAAUGCUGACAUAAGUAACGAUAAAGCGGGUGAAAAGCCCGCUCGCCGGAAGACCAAGGGUUCCUGUCCAACGUUAAUCGGGGCAGGGUGAGUCGACCCCUAAGGCGAGGCCGAAAGGCGUAGUCGAUGGGAAACAGGUUAAUAUUCCUGUACUUGGUGUUACUGCGAAGGGGGGACGGAGAAGGCUAUGUUAGCCGGGCGACGGUUGUCCCGGUUUAAGCAUGUAGGCUGAUUGUCCAGGCAAAUCCGGAUAAUCAAGGCUGAGGUGUGAUGACGAGGCACUACGGUGCUGAAGUAACAAAUGCCCUGCUUCCAGGAAAAGCCUCUAAGCAUCAGGUAACAUUAAAUCGUACCCCAAACCGACACAGGUGGUCAGGUAGAGAAUACCAAGGCGCUUGAGAGAACUCGGGUGAAGGAACUAGGCAAAAUGGUGCCGUAACUUCGGGAGAAGGCACGCUGGUGUGUAGGUGAAGCCCCUGCGGGUGGAGCUGAGACCAGUCGAAGAUACCAGCUGGCUGCAACUGUUUAUUAAAAACACAGCACUGUGCAAACACGAAAGUGGACGUAUACGGUGUGACGCCUGCCCGGUGCCGGAAGGUUAAUUGAUGGGGUUAUCCGUAAGGAGAAGCUCUUGAUCGAAGCCCCGGUAAACGGCGGCCGUAACUAUAACGGUCCUAAGGUAGCGAAAUUCCUUGUCGGGUAAGUUCCGACCUGCACGAAUGGCGUAAUGAUGGCCAGGCUGUCUCCACCCGAGACUCAGUGAAAUUGAACUCGCUGUGAAGAUGCAGUGUACCCGCGGCAAGACGGAAAGACCCCGUGAACCUUUACUAUAGCUUGACACUGAACAUUGAGCCUUGAUGUGUAGGAUAGGUGGGAGGCUUUGAAGCGUGGACGCCAGUCUGCGUGGAGCCAACCUUGAAAUACCACCCUUUAAUGUUUGAUGUUCUAACGUUGGCCCCUGACCGGGGUUGCGGACAGUGUCUGGUGGGUAGUUUGACUGGGGCGGUCUCCUCCCAAAGCGUAACGGAGGAGCACGAAGGUUAGCUAAUCCUGGUCGGACAUCAGGAGGUUAGUGCAAUGGCAUAAGCUAGCUUGACUGCGAGCGUGACGGCGCGAGCAGGUGCGAAAGCAGGUCAUAGUGAUCCGGUGGUUCUGAAUGGAAGGGCCAUCGCUCAACGGAUAAAAGGUACUCCGGGGAUAACAGGCUGAUACCGCCCAAGAGUUCAUAUCGACGGCGGUGUUUGGCACCUCGAUGUCGGCUCAUCACAUCCUGGGGCUGAAGUAGGUCCCAAGGGUAUGGCUGUUCGCCAUUUAAAGUGGUACGCGAGCUGGGUUUAGAACGUCGUGAGACAGUUCGGUCCCUAUCUGCCGUGGGCGCUGGAGAAUUGAGGGGGGCUGCUCCUAGUACGAGAGGACCGGAGUGGACGCAUCACUGGUGUUCGGGUUGUCAUGCCAAUGGCACUGCCCGGUAGCUAAAUGCGGAAGAGAUAAGUGCUGAAAGCAUCUAAGCACGAAACUUGCCCCGAGAUGAGUUCUCCCUGAGACUUUAAGUCUCCUGAAGGAACGUUAAAGACGAUGACGUUGAUAGGCCGGGUGUGUAAGCGCAGCGAUGCGUUGAGCUAACCGGUACUAAUGAACCGUGAGGCUUAACCUU